Long non-coding RNA from Dama dama (fallow deer), 364 nucleotides. RefSeq lists it as uncharacterized. The record is from RefSeq and is a predicted model, not a curated record. The transcript has 2 exons. NCBI's taxonomy places the organism in Eukaryota, Metazoa, Chordata, Mammalia, Artiodactyla, Cervidae.
GGACUGAGGAGCUCAGCCCUACAGCUAUGCUGAGGUUGGCCCCCACCAUCAGGCUGCUGCAAGCCCCGCUGGGGGGUUGGGUGGUCCCUAAGGCACACAUCACUGCCAAGCCAGCCAAAACACCCACUUCUCCAAAGUCCCAGGGACAGAGGCAGUCGGCCUGGGCUGAGGGGACCCAUAUGCAUCUUCUCGCCCCAGGAGCAGGCCAUCGGGCUCUCGGUGACGUUCCUCAGCUUCCUGCUUCCUGCCGGCUGGGUCCUGUACCACCUGGAUAACUACAAGAAGAGCUCAGCAGCAUGAAGGCUCUGCGGUCGCCACACCAGGCACAGACAGAAAGAAGGGAUUAAAGCCCUCUUUCCUCACA